ACAGAAGCGGGAUGUGUUUGGACCACACACAGUUUCUGGGACGUGUGGAUGGACGUGAUGGACAUCUCCUCUUGGACAGUGUGAAAAGCAGCAUAACCCCUGCUGGACAUCGUGCCGGGGCUCGGGGGGGGACCCGAAUCAUCCCCGUCCCUUCAUUCACACAACACUCACAGCGAUCUGGCUGGAAUCGAACCAACAACCUCUGAACCAUGAGGCAGCGCUCUUACCGGCACAUAGUGCUGAAUCUUCUUGGCUCCAUUGGGUGUUGGGCGUCCCACUGGUCUACAGGU
Labeo rohita (rohu) is the source of this 290-nucleotide long non-coding RNA. RefSeq lists it as uncharacterized. The record is from RefSeq and is a predicted model, not a curated record. NCBI's taxonomy places the organism in Eukaryota, Metazoa, Chordata, Actinopteri, Cypriniformes, Cyprinidae. The transcript has 3 exons.